Arabidopsis thaliana (thale cress) is the source of this 317-nucleotide long non-coding RNA. RefSeq annotates it as other RNA. Lineage: Eukaryota; Viridiplantae; Streptophyta; Magnoliopsida; Brassicales; Brassicaceae. The transcript has a single exon. The record is from RefSeq.
UCUUGGGUUCACUCCUUCUUAAAUAAAAGAAACAAAAUCAAUGUAAUUCAACCUAAUUUUUUUUGUUGAUUUUACUAAAUAAGUUACAUCGCUGAAUUGUUAAGUUAUCUAACGGAAAAAUUAUCGGUUUAAUCAAACCAUUUAACAGUCUGAAUAAUUUGGCUUAUUUAACAAAAAUCUAUAACCAGAUAUCACGUGACGUCGAUCCGGAAAUGAAUGAGCCUUGAAACUGCUUUGGGGUGAGGGUACCAUGAAGCCAAAGCUUUACAAUCCCAUCACGUUUCUGCCACACGAGAUCAUUGUCAUCGGCUGGGAGG